UACGUAGGGUGCAAGCGUUGUCCGGAAUUAUUGGGCGUAAAGAGCUUGUAGGCGGUUUGUCGCGUCUGCUGUGAAAUUUCGGGGCUCAACCCCGAACUUGCAGUGGGUACGGGCAGACUAGAGUGUGGUAGGGGAGACUGGAAUUCCUGGUGUAGCGGUGAAAUGCGCAGAUAUCAGGAGGAACACCAGUGGCGAAGGCGGUGCUCUGGGCCGGAACUGACGCUGAGGAGCGAAAGCGUGGGGAGCAAACAGG
RNAcentral lists this ribosomal RNA (253 nucleotides) under uncultured bacterium. RNAcentral's name for it is "partial 16S ribosomal RNA". It matches the Rfam family "Bacterial small subunit ribosomal RNA", at positions 524 to 776 of the family's 1533-position model. The record is from RNAcentral.